This 499-nucleotide ribosomal RNA is filed under the name uncultured bacterium. RNAcentral describes it as "partial 16S ribosomal RNA". It matches the Rfam family "Bacterial small subunit ribosomal RNA", at positions 28 to 507 of the family's 1533-position model. The record is from RNAcentral.
GAUGAACGCUGGCGGCGUGCCUAAUACAUGCAAGUCGAGCGAACAGACGAGAGUGCUUGCACUCUCUGACGUUAGCGGCGGACGGGUGAGUAACACGUGGGUAACCUACCUAUAAGACUGGGAUAACUUCGGGAAACCGGAGCUAAUACCGGAUAAUAUUUAGCUUCGCAUGAAGCAAUAGUGAAAGACGGUUCUGCUGUCACUUAUAGAUGGACCCGCGGUGUAUUAGCUAGUUGGUGAGGUAACGGCUCACCAAGGCAACGAUACAUAGCCGACCUGAGAGGGUGAUCGGCCACACUGGGACUGAGACACGGCCCAGACUCCUACGGGAGGCAGCAGUAGGGAAUCUUCCGCAAUGGACGGAAGUCUGACGGAGCAAUGCCGCGUGAGUGAAGAAGGCUUUCGGAUCGUAAAACUCUGUUGUAAGGGAAGAACAAGUACGUUAGUAACUGAACGUACCUUGACGGUACCUUACCAGAAAGCCACGGCUAACUACGUG